This is an RNA transcript of Zea mays, 5253 nucleotides long. It is a transcript of the gene named DNA-directed RNA polymerase subunit beta''-like, with no coding region annotated. The record is from RefSeq and is a predicted model, not a curated record. The transcript is spliced from 2 exons. Lineage: Eukaryota; Viridiplantae; Streptophyta; Magnoliopsida; Poales; Poaceae.
CGCAUCGUUGGGUCAAGAGAAGUUCCGAUUGAAGUUCAAUAUGAAUCUUUUGGGACUUAUCAUGAGAUUUAUGCCCACUAUCUAGUAGUGGGAAAUAGAAAAAAAGAAAUCCGUUCUAUAUACAUUCGAACCACUCUUGGUCAUAUUUCUUUUUAUAGAGAAAUAUAGGAAGCCAUACAAGGAUUUAGUCAGGCCUAUUCAUACACUAUCUAAACAAGGAAGUUAGAUUCGGCGAUGCCCCUUUCGGGGGGCAUUCCGAUUUCGCUAGUACCAUCUUUUUUGCCGCGCAAAUCCAGAUUGAGAUUGAGGAAAGGGAGUAAAUUAAGUUUUUGAAUCACUGACUCAGGCCCAUUGUCGAAUCCUACUCAGCAAUUGUCGAAUCCUACUCAGCCAAAAAAAGGGGGUACUUAUGUAUGGCAGAACGGGCCAACCUGGUCUUUCAUAAUAAAGAGAUAGACGGAACUGCUAUGAAACGACUUAUUAGCAGAUUAAUAGAUCAUUUCGGAAUGGGAUAUACAUCCCAUAUACUGGAUCAAAUAAAGACUCUGGGCUUCCAUGAAGCCACUACUACAUCGAUUUCUUUAGGAAUCGAGGAUCUUUUAACAAUACCCUCUAAAUGAUGGUUAGUCCAAGACGCGGAACAACAGAGUUUUCUUUUGGAGAAACACUAUUAUUAUGGAGCUAUACACGCGGUAGAAAAAUUACGCCAAUCCGUUGAGAUAUGGUAUGCUACAAGUGAAUAUUUGUAACAAGAAAUGAAUUCGAAUUUUCGAAUAACGGAUCCUUCUAAUCCAGUCUAUCUAAUGUCUUUUUCAGGAGCCAGAGGAAAUGCAGCUCAGGUACACCAAUUAGUAGGUAUGAGAGGGUUAAUGGCGGAUCCUCAAGGACAAAUGAUUGAUUUACCUAUUCAAAGCAAUUUACGCGAGGGACUUUCUUUGACAGAAUAUAUAAUUUCCUGCUACGGAGCCCGAAAAGGGGUUGUAGAUACUGCUGUACGAACAGCGGAUGCUGGCUAUCUUACACGUAGACUUGUUGAAGUAGUUCAACAUAUUAUUGUGCGUAGAAGAGAUUGUGGUACUAUCCAAGGUAUUUCUGUGAGUCCUCAAAAUGGGAUGACGGAAAAACUUUUUGUCCAAACACUAAUUGGUCGUGUAUUAGCAAUGAUGAAAAGACUAUUUAGCAAAGGAUUGACUCGAAAUCAAGAUAUUGGAAUUGGAUUAGUCAAUCGAUUCAUAACUGCCUUUCGAGCACAACCGUUUCGAGCACAACCAAUAUAUAUUAGAACCCCCUUUACUUGCCGGAGCACAUCUUGGAUCUGUCAAUUAUGUUAUGGGCGGAGUCCCACUCAUGGGGAUCUGGUCGAAUUGGGGGAAGCUGUAGGUAUUAUUGCGGGUCAAUCAAUUGGGGAGUCGGGGACUCAAUUAACAUUAAGAACUUUUCAUACUGGUGGAGUAUUCACAGGGGGUACUGCCGACCUUAUACGAUCCCCCUCGAAUGGAAAAAUCCAAUUCAAUGAGGAUUUGGUUCACCCCACACGUACCCGUCAUGGGCAGCCUGCUUUUCUAUGCUAUAUAGACUUGCAUGUAACUAUUCAGAGUCAGGAUAUUCUACAUAGUGUGAAUAUUCCGUUAAAAAGCUUGAUUCUAGUGCAAAAUGAUCAAUAUGUAGAAUCUGAACAAGUAAUUGCGGAGAUUCGUGCCGGAACGUCCACUUUGCAUUUUAAAGAAAAGGUACAAAAGCAUAUUUAUUCCGAAUCAGACGGGGAAAUGCACUGGAGUACUGAUGUUUACCAUGCGCCCGAAUAUCAAUAUGGUAAUCUUCGUCGAUUACCAAAAACAAGCCAUUUAUGGAUAUUGUCAGUAAGUAUGUGCAGAUCCAGUAUAGCAUCUUUUUCGCUGCACAAGGAUCAAGAUCAAAUGAAUACUUAUUCUUUUUCUGUUGAUGGAAGAUAUAUCUUUGACUUCUCAAUGGCUAAUGAUCAAGUAAGCCAUAGACUGUUGGAUACUUUUGGUAAAAAAGAUAGAGAAAUUCUUGAUUAUUUAACGCCAGAUCGAAUCAUGUUCAACGGUCAUUGGAAUUGUUUCUAUCCUUCCAUUCUUCAAGAUAAUUCAGAUUUGUUGGUGAAAAAGCGAAGAAAUAGGCUCGUCGUUCCAUUACAAUAUCAUCAAGAACAAGAAAAAGAGCGAAUAUCCUGUUUGGGUAUUUCAAUGGAAAUACCCUUUAUGGGCGUUUUACGUAGAAAUACUAUUUUUGCUUAUUUUGACGAUCCACGAUACAGAAAAGAUAAAAGGGGUUCAGGAAUUGUUAAAUUUAGAUAUAGGACCCUAGAGGAAGAAUAUCGGACCCAAGAGGAAGAGUAUAGGACUCGAGAGGAAGAAUAUCGGACUCGAGAGGAAGACUCAGAAGACGAAUAUGAGAGCCCAGAGAACAAAUAUAGGACCCGAGAGGGAGAGGGCGAAUAUAAAAUCCUAGAAGACGAAUAUAGGACUCUAGAGGACGAAUAUGAAACCCUAGAAGAUGAAUAUGGGAUCCUAGAGGACGAAUAUAGGACUCUAGAGAAAGACUCAGAGGAAGAAUAUGGGAGCCUAGAGAACAAAUAUAGGACUCGAGAGGGAGAGGGCGAAUAUGAAAUCCUAGAGGAAGAAUCAGAAGAAGAAUAUGGGAGCUCUGAAGAUGGCUCAGAGAAGGAAUAUGGGACUUUAGAAGAAGACUCAGAAGAAGACUCAGAGGAAGACUCAGAAGACGAAUAUGGGAGCCCGGAGGAAGAUUCUAUCUUAAAAAAAGAGGGUUUUAUUGAGCAUCGAGGAAUAAAAGAAUUUAGUCUAAAAUACCAAAAAGAAGUAGAUCGGUUUUUUUUCAUUCUUCAAGAACUGCAUAUCUUGCCGAGAUCCUCAUCCCUAAAGGUACUUGACAAUAGUAUUAUUGGAGUCGAUACACAACUCACAAAAAAUACAAGAAGUCGACUAGGUGGAUUGGUCCGAGUGAAGAUAAAAAAAAGCCAUACAGAACUCAAAACCUUUUCCAGAGAUAUUCAUUUUCCUGAAGAGGCGGAUAAGAUAUUAGGUGGCAGUUUGAUACCACCAGAAAGAGAAAAAAAGAUUCUAAGGAAUAAAAAAAGGAAAAAUUGGGUUUAUGUUCAACGGAAAAUAUUUCUCAAAAGCAAGGAAAAGUAUUUUGUUUCGGUUCGACCUGCAGUCGCAUAUGAAAUGGACGAAGGGAUAAAUUUAGCAACACUUUUCCCGCAGGAUCUCCUGCAAGAAGAGGAUAAUCUCCAACUUCGACUUGUCAAUUUUAUUUCUCAUGAAAAUAGCAAGUUAACUCAAAGAAUUUAUCACACGAAUAGUCAAUUCGUUCGAACUUGCUUAGUAGUGAAUUGGGAACAAGAAGAAAAAGAGGGAGCUCGUGCUUCUCUUGUUGAGGUAAGAACAAAUGAUCUAAUUCACGAUUUCCUAAGAAUUGAGUUAGUCAAGUCUACUAUUUUGUAUACACGAAGAAGGUAUGAUAGGACAAGUGUAGGAUUGAUUCCCAAUAAUAGGUUAGAUCGCAACAAUACCAAUUCCUUUUAUUCCAAGGCGAAGAUUCAAUCACUUAGCCAACAUCAAGAAGUUAUUGGCACCUUGUUGAAUCGAAAUAAAGAAUAUCCAUCUUUGAUGAUUUUGUUGGCAUCCAACUGUUCUCGAAUUGGUUUAUUCAAGAAUUCUAAAUAUCCCAAUGCGGUAAAAGAAUCGAAUCCUAGAAUUCCUAUUCGAGAUAUUUUUGGGCUCUUAGGCGUUAUUGUACCUAGUAUAUCGAAUUUUUCUUCAUCUUACUAUUUAUUAACGCAUAAUCAGAUCUUGUUAAAAAAAUACUUGUUCCUUGACAAUUUGAAACAAACCUUACAAGUACUUCAAGGACUUAAAUACUCUUUAAUAGACGAAAAUAAAAGGAUUUCGAAUUUUGACAGUAACAUCAUGUUGGAGCCAUUCCAUUUGAAUUGGCACUUUCUCCAUCAUGACUCAUGGGAAGAGACAUUGGCAAUAAUUCACCUUGGACAAUUUAUUUGUGAAAAUUUAUGUCUAUUUAAAUUACACAUAAAAAAAUCUGGUCAAAUUUUCAUUGUUAAUAUGGACUCCUUUGUUCUAAGAGCAGCUAAGCCUUAUUUGGCCACUAUAGGAGCAACUGUUCAUGGUCAUUAUGGAAAAAUCCUUUACAAAGGAGAUAGGUUAGUUACGUUUAUAUAUGAAAAAUUGAGAUCCAGUGAUAUAACGCAAGGUCUUCCAAAAGUAGAACAAAUCUUCGAAGCGCGUUCAAUUGAUUCACUAUCGCCGAAUCUCGAAAGGAGAAUUGAGGAUUGGAAUGAACGUAUACCAAGAAUUCUUGGGGUUCCCUGGGGAUUCUUGAUUGGAGCUGAGCUAACCAUAGCCCAAAGUCGUAUCUCUUUGGUUAAUAAGAUCCAAAAGGUUUAUCGAUCCCAAGGGGUACAGAUCCAUAAUAGACAUAUAGAGAUUAUUAUACGCCAAGUAACAUCAAAAGUAAGGGUUUCCGAAGAUGGAAUGUCUAAUGUUUUUUUACCUGGGGAAUUAAUAGGACUAUUGCGAGCGGAACGAGCAGGGCGGGCUUUAGAUGAAUCGAUCUAUUAUCGGGCAAUCUUAUUGGGAAUAACAAGGGCUUCCCUGAAUACCCAAAGUUUCAUAUCUGAAGCAAGUUUUCAAGAAACUGCUCGAGUUUUAGCAAAAGCUGCCCUACGCGGUCGUAUUGAUUGGUUGAAAGGUCUGAAAGAAAAUGUAGUUCUGGGGGGGAUUAUACCUGUUGGUACCGGAUUCCAAAAAUUUGUGCAUCGUUCCCCACAAGACAAGAACCUUUAUUUAGAAAUUCAAAAAAAAUCUAUUCGCGUCGGAAAUGAGAGAUAUUUUGUUUCUCCAUACAGAAUUAGUUUCUUCUGAUUCUGACGUAACAAACAAUUUCUAUGAAACAUCAGAGACCCCGUUUACCCCUAUUUAUACGAUUUAAGUAUACAUAAAGCAAUUUUUUUACUUUAAUUUAAACUAUACUUUUGACCUUAGAAUGCUAACAGAUCUGAUUUUCGAUUUUGUACUUAAAUUUAAAUUGUAUUUUAAUAAGUAAAAGAAGUCAGUUAAUUCAUUAAGGCUAUGUUUAUACCGUGUAUCAAUGGUCAAGAAGGUUCCAUUGGAACAAUUAUUAUUUAUUUCAAGCUAUUUCGGCUCUUUCUUAAUCUUCAAAAAGAAAUGAAUUCCGUAAUGGUAACACAAAAAA